AGAAUCAACGCUGGCGGCGUGCCUAACACAUGCAAGUCGAACGAGAAAGUGGAGCAAUCCAUGAGUAAAGUGGCGACCGGGUGAGUAACACGUGACUAACCUACCUUCGAGUGGGGGAUAACCUCGGGAAAACCGAGGCUAAUACCGCAUAACAUCGUGAGAUCAAAGCAGUAAUGCGCUGGAAGAGGGGUCGCGGCUGAUUAGCUAGUUGGCGGGUAAUGGCCCACAAGGCGAAGAUCGGUAGCC
RNAcentral lists this ribosomal RNA (246 nucleotides) under uncultured bacterium. RNAcentral's name for it is "partial small subunit ribosomal RNA". It matches the Rfam family "Bacterial small subunit ribosomal RNA", at positions 26 to 288 of the family's 1533-position model. The record is from RNAcentral.